RNAcentral lists this ribosomal RNA (272 nucleotides) under uncultured Staphylococcus sp. RNAcentral's name for it is "partial 16S ribosomal RNA". It matches the Rfam family "Bacterial small subunit ribosomal RNA", at positions 90 to 354 of the family's 1533-position model. Lineage: Bacteria; Bacillati; Bacillota; Bacilli; Caryophanales; Staphylococcaceae. The record is from RNAcentral.
CGUUAGCGGCGGACGGGUGAGUAACACGUGGGUGACCUACCUAUAAGACUGGGAUAACUCCGGGAAACCGGGGCUAAUACCGGAUAACACAUGAAACCGCAUGGUUUCAUGAUGAAAGACGGUUUUGCUGUCACUUAUAGAUGGACCCGCGGCGUAUUAGCUAGUUGGUAAGGUAACGGCUUACCAAGGCAACGAUACGUAGCCGACCUGAGAGGGUGAUCGGCCACACUGGAACUGAGACACGGUCCAGACUCCUACGGGAGGCAGCAGAG